GCUGUGGCUCAGUGGUAGAGUAUCUGCUUGGCAUGAAGGAGGCGCCAGGUUCAAUGCUCGCCAUCUCCG
This 69-nucleotide transfer RNA is filed under the name Sphaerodactylus townsendi. RNAcentral's name for it is "tRNA-Ala". The record is from RNAcentral. Lineage: Eukaryota; Metazoa; Chordata; Lepidosauria; Squamata; Sphaerodactylidae.